GCAAGUCGAACGCGAAAGCAUCCUUCGGGGUGUGAGUAAAGUGGCGAACUGGUGAGUAACAGGUGGGUAAUGUGCCUCCGAGCGGGCAUAACCUUUGGAAACAAAGGAUAAUACCGCAUAUGGCUUGGGAAUCGUUGGUUUCCCAGGUUAAAGGUGCGCUUCGGCGUGCCGCUUGGAGAGUAGCCCGCCCCCGAUUAGCUAGUUGGUGGGGUAAUGGCCUACCAAGGCGACGAUCGGUAGGUGGCCUGAGAGGGUGGUC
RNAcentral lists this ribosomal RNA (259 nucleotides) under uncultured bacterium. RNAcentral describes it as "partial 16S ribosomal RNA". It matches the Rfam family "Bacterial small subunit ribosomal RNA", at positions 57 to 305 of the family's 1533-position model. The record is from RNAcentral.